UCUUAGAUGACUGAGAUUUAAGUGCUAGACUUUUAAUCUAGAAACGGCUGACAUUAAAGCCUCUAAGAA
RNAcentral lists this transfer RNA (69 nucleotides) under Monetaria moneta. RNAcentral describes it as "tRNA-Lys". The record is from RNAcentral. Lineage: Eukaryota; Metazoa; Mollusca; Gastropoda; Littorinimorpha; Cypraeidae.